GCGGGUGUAGUUCAGUGGUAGAACAAUAGCUUCCCAAGCUAUGUGUCGCGA
RNAcentral lists this transfer RNA (51 nucleotides) under Phascolarctobacterium sp. CAG:266. It matches the Rfam family "tRNA", at positions 1 to 50 of the family's 71-position model. From Rfam's summary of the family: Transfer RNA (tRNA) molecules are approximately 80 nucleotides in length. Lineage: Bacteria; Bacillati; Bacillota; Negativicutes; Acidaminococcales; Acidaminococcaceae. The record is from Rfam by way of RNAcentral.